Molecule: long non-coding RNA, 1143 nt
Organism: Vespa crabro (European hornet)
Lineage: Eukaryota; Metazoa; Arthropoda; Insecta; Hymenoptera; Vespidae
Exons: 2
Source: RefSeq, a predicted model, not a curated record
CAAAAAAUCAACAAAUACGUUCACCAUCAACGAUUACAACUACGAUGAUGAUCGGCAAAAGGUUUACACCGAUCAAGAGCUGGAAAAAAUAUGUACAUAUGUACGACUCGUAUGAAGAUAAUAAAAGUAAUAUAGCUAAAUGCUCGUUGCGACGGUGGGAUAAUACUGAACGUUGAUAAUUUUUAUUAUAAAGACAACAGAAGUUAAUGACAUAAAUACCGAAUCGCGAAGUUCGCUAUAUUAUGAAAAAAGCUAGAACUAGAACUUCUGUCUACUAUGUAUCAUCGAAUCUCUCGACUCGUUACACUUGGUUAUGGUAUCGAAUUCUUCUAUUUAUAUAAAAAGAGUCAUCCUUGCGUUUCUUAUUAAGAGUCUCUCAGGCUAUGAAUAUAGUAAAGCGGUGAGAAGCAAAGAUAGCGGCGAGGUGAGCAGCACUGUAAAAUCAAACCAAUGUUUUCUAAUGAGAGUGUUUAUUAAUGAAGCGGCGAAGAAAGUUGCGAGAAAGGCAACUAUAGUAGAAGUACAGCUAGAAUCAAAAACAUUUGAUUCUGUUAGUGGAAAUAAACGAGAUCGAAGGUAUUCAGCUGGCCUCAGCAAUCAUCUAAUGGAUACUUUUCAAUAUCCUGUAGAACAUGAAUCAGACUCAAAUAUAAUGACCAUUAUUUUUUAUGCUUACCAUUAGUCAGUACCUCAUCCAAGUUAUGUAUUAACAUAUUCAAUAUUAAAAUCUUAAUAUACAAAGUAAAAUUAGCUGUUAAACUAUAGGCUUUUUUUAUAAAAUAGUGAGUAAUUAUUUUUUAAUUUAAAUUUACUUAUUGGUAAUAAUUAAGUGUUCUUCAAUACUAACAGAGUUCUGAACAAAAUUGGUUUAUUGAAGUAUAAUUUUUAAACAUACCACUUCCAAAAUCCAAUCGAUUAGAUAUUGCGACUAGAUAAUUAAAUAUUUUAAAAUAUUGCUUAAAUUUGUCAGGAUAUUGUCUUAAUUUUAAAUAUAAGUGGCUGUCUUUUUAUUCAUAAGAUAGACUAUUUUCUGACUCUGUUUCUUAAAUGAUCUGAAGCAAGGACAUAAUAUUUAAUUACAAUAUUUUCUGCAAGCAUGAGUUUGUGAAGUUUCGACAUCUUAAGAAACAUUUAAAAAAAUAG